RNAcentral lists this ribosomal RNA (397 nucleotides) under uncultured bacterium. RNAcentral describes it as "bacterial SSU rRNA". It matches the Rfam family "Bacterial small subunit ribosomal RNA", at positions 358 to 772 of the family's 1533-position model. The record is from RNAcentral.
GGAAUUUUGGGCAAUGGGCGAAAGCCUGACCCAGCAACGCCGCGUGAAGGAUGAAGUAUUUCGGUAUGUAAACUUCGUAAGAAUGGGAAGAAUCAAUGACGGUACCAUUUGUAAGGUCCGGCUAACUACGUGCCAGCAGCCGCGGUAAUACGUAGGGACCAAGCGUUGUUCGGAUUUCAUGGGCGUAAAGGGCGCGUAGGCGGCAUUGUUAGUCACUUGUGAAAUCUCCGGGCUUAACUCGGAACGGCCAAGUGAUACUGCAGUGCUAGAGUGCGGAAGGGGCAAUCGGAAUUCUUGGUGUAGCGGUGAAACGCGUAGAUAUCAAGAGGAACACCUGAGGUGAAGACGGGUUGCUGGGCCGACACUGACGCUGAGGCGCGAAAGCCAGGGGAGCAAA